Molecule: ribosomal RNA, 447 nt
Filed under: uncultured bacterium
Lineage: Bacteria
Description: bacterial SSU rRNA
Rfam family: Bacterial small subunit ribosomal RNA
Source: RNAcentral
AUCAACGCUGGCGGCGCGCUUAACACAUGCAAGUCGCACGAGAAAGCGGGAGCAAUCCUGCAAGUACAGUGGCGUACGGGUGAGUAACACGUGGAUUAUCUGCCCUGGAGUGGGGAAUAACGCUGGGAAACCGGCGCUAAUACCGCAUAUUCCCGAGAGGGGAAAGCAGCAAUGCGCUCGAGGAGGAGUCCGCGGCUGAUUAGCUAGUUGGUAGGGUAACGGCCUACCAAGGCUAUGAUCGGUAGCCGGCCUGAGAGGGCACACGGCCACACUGGCACUGAAACACGGGCCAGACUCCUACGGGAGGCAGCAGUGGGGAAUCUUGCACAAUGGGGGAAACCCUGAUGCAGCGACGCCGCGUGAGCGAUGAAGCCCUUCGGGGUGUAAAGCUCUUUCGGCAGGGAAGAUGAUGACGGUACCUGCAGAAGCAGCUGCGGCUAACUACGU